CAAAAUAAAAUUGGGGUGAUACAGAAGAUUAGCAUGGUCCCUGCACAAGGAUAACAUGCAAAUUCAUGAAGCAUUCCAUAUUUUU
This 85-nucleotide small nuclear RNA is filed under the name Capra hircus (goat). Lineage: Eukaryota; Metazoa; Chordata; Mammalia; Artiodactyla; Bovidae. The record is from RNAcentral.